AAUUUCUGAUUUGACGAGGGUGUUCUGU
This 28-nucleotide non-coding RNA is filed under the name Rattus norvegicus (Norway rat). The record is from RNAcentral. Lineage: Eukaryota; Metazoa; Chordata; Mammalia; Rodentia; Muridae.